Molecule: ribosomal RNA, 490 nt
Filed under: uncultured bacterium
Lineage: Bacteria
Description: partial 16S ribosomal RNA
Rfam family: Bacterial small subunit ribosomal RNA
Source: RNAcentral
AAUGAACGCUGGCGGCAGGCCUAACACAUGCAAGUCGAACGGUAACAGGAAGACGCUUGCUUCUUUGCUGACGAGUGGCGGACGGGCGAGUAAUGUCUGGGAAAUUGCCUGAUGGAGGGGGAUAACUACUGGAAACGGGAGCUAAUACCGCAUAACGUCGCAAGACCAAAGAGGGGGAGUUGCGGGCCUCUUGUCAUCGGAUAUGAGCAUAUGAGAGUAGCUAGUAGGUGGGGUAACGGCUCACCUAGGCGACGAUCCCUAGCUGGUCUGAGAGGAUGACCAGCCACACUGGAACUGAGACACGGUCCAGACUCCGACGGGAGGCAGCAGUGGGGAAUAUUGCGCAAUGGGCGCAAGCCUGAUGCAGCCAUACCGCGUGUAUGAAGAAGGCCUUCGGGUUGUAAAGUGCUUUCAGCGGGGAGGAAGGGAAUAAAGUUAAUACCUUUGCUCAUUGACGUUACCCGCAGAAGAAGCACCGGCUAACUCCGUG